Molecule: long non-coding RNA, 274 nt
Organism: Solanum stenotomum
Lineage: Eukaryota; Viridiplantae; Streptophyta; Magnoliopsida; Solanales; Solanaceae
Exons: 3
Source: RefSeq, a predicted model, not a curated record
AGAAAAGGGAGAAAUUUAAAAUAGAGAGGAGCCACACGAUUGUGAGAAAAACCAGUUCUAGAAACGGCUUCAGAUCGGAAAUCAUCUGAGGCAUUGAAGAAGGGAAAAACAUUGGAGAAGUAGCUGGUCUGACUUCAGUUCUUCGGUGGAGCAAGUGUACCAUCGACUUCGACUCGCCCUCAGCUCUAGCCAGUCUCUCGCACAUCAGAUUUCAGGGUGAGCUAUUCCCUCUAGCUCGUGCUGGAUUCUCUCAGUUAUGGUGUGAUGUCCUUGA